UCAUCUCCGGGGGUAGAGCACUGUUUCGGCAAGGGGGUCAUCCCGACUUACCAACCCGAUGCAAACUGCGAAUACCGGAGAAUGUUAUCACGGGAGACACACGGCGGGUGCUAACGUCCGUCGUGAAGAGGGAAACAACCCAGACCGCCAGCUAAGGUCCCAAAGUCAUGGUUAAGUGGGAAACGAUGUGGGAAGGCCCAGACAGCCAGGAUGUUGGCUUAGAAGCAGCCAUCAUUUAAAGAAAGCGUAAUAGCUCACUGGUCGAGUCGGCCUGCGCGGAAGAUGUAACGGGGCUAAACCAUGCACCGAAGCUGCGGCAGCGACGCUUAUGCGUUGUUGGGUAGGGGAGCGUUCUGUAAGCCUGUGAAGGUGUACUGUGAGGUAUGCUGGAGGUAUCAGAAGUGCGAAUGCUGACAUAAGUAACGAUAAAGCGGGUGAAAAGCCCGCUCGCCGGAAGACCAAGGGUUCCUGUCCAACGUUAAUCGGGGCAGGGUGAGUCGACCCCUAAGGCGAGGCCGAAAGGCGUAGUCGAUGGGAAACAGGUUAAUAUUCCUGUACUUGGUGUUACUGCGAAGGGGGGACGGAGAAGGCUAUGUUGGCCGGGCGACGGUUGUCCCGGUUUAAGCGUGUAGGCUGGUUUUCCAGGCAAAUCCGGAAAAUCAAGGCUGAGGCGUGAUGACGAGGCACUACGGUGCUGAAGCAACAAAUGCCCUGCUUCCAGGAAAAGCCUCUAAGCAUCAGGUAACAUCAAAUCGUACCCCAAACCGACACAGGUGGUCAGGUAGAGAAUACCAAGGCGCUUGAGAGAACUCGGGUGAAGGAACUAGGCAAAAUGGUGCCGUAACUUCGGGAGAAGGCACGCUGAUAUGUAGGUGAAGCGACUUGCUCGUGGAGCUGAAAUCAGUCGAAGAUACCAGCUGGCUGCAACUGUUUAUUAAAAACACAGCACUGUGCAAACACGAAAGUGGACGUAUACGGUGUGACGCCUGCCCGGUGCCGGAAGGUUAAUUGAUGGGGUUAGCGCAAGCGAAGCUCUUGAUCGAAGCCCCGGUAAACGGCGGCCGUAACUAUAACGGUCCUAAGGUAGCGAAAUUCCUUGUCGGGUAAGUUCCGACCUGCACGAAUGGCGUAAUGAUGGCCAGGCUGUCUCCACCCGAGACUCAGUGAAAUUGAACUCGCUGUGAAGAUGCAGUGUACCCGCGGCAAGACGGAAAGACCCCGUGAACCUUUACUAUAGCUUGACACUGAACAUUGAGCCUUGAUGUGUAGGAUAGGUGGGAGGCUUUGAAGUGUGGACGCCAGUCUGCAUGGAGCCGACCUUGAAAUACCACCCUUUAAUGUUUGAUGUUCUAACGUUGACCCGUAAUCCGGGUUGCGGACAGUGUCUGGUGGGUAGUUUGACUGGGGCGGUCUCCUCCUAAAGAGUAACGGAGGAGCACGAAGGUUGGCUAAUCCUGGUCGGACAUCAGGAGGUUAGUGCAAUGGCAUAAGCCAGCUUGACUGCGAGCGUGACGGCGCGAGCAGGUGCGAAAGCAGGUCAUAGUGAUCCGGUGGUUCUGAAUGGAAGGGCCAUCGCUCAACGGAUAAAAGGUACUCCGGGGAUAACAGGCUGAUACCGCCCAAGAGUUCAUAUCGACGGCGGUGUUUGGCACCUCGAUGUCGGCUCAUCACAUCCUGGGGCUGAAGUAGGUCCCAAGGGUAUGGCUGUUCGCCAUUUAAAGUGGUACGCGAGCUGGGUUUAGAACGUCGUGAGACAGUUCGGUCCCUAUCUGCCGUGGGCGCUGGAGAACUGAGGGGGGCUGCUCCUAGUACGAGAGGACCGGAGUGGACGCAUCACUGGUGUUCGGGUUGUCAUGCCAAUGGCACUGCCCGGUAGCUAAAUGCGGAAGAGAUAAGUGCUGAAAGCAUCUAAGCACGAAACUUGCCCCGAGAUGAGUUCUCCCUGACCCUUUAAGGGUCCUGAAGGAACGUUGAAGACGACGACGUUGAUAGGCCGGGUGUGUAAGCGCAGCGAUGCGUUGAGCUAACCGGUACUAAUGAACCGUGAGGCUUAACCUU
Molecule: ribosomal RNA, 2058 nt
Filed under: Escherichia coli
Lineage: Bacteria; Pseudomonadati; Pseudomonadota; Gammaproteobacteria; Enterobacterales; Enterobacteriaceae
Description: partial 23S ribosomal RNA
Rfam family: Bacterial large subunit ribosomal RNA
Source: RNAcentral